GACGAACGCUGGCGGCGUGCUUAACACAUGCAAGUCGAACGGAAAGGCCCUGCUUUUGUGGGGUGCUCGAGUGGUGAACGGGUGAGUAACACGUGAGUAACCUGCCCUUGACUUUGGGAUAACUUCAGGAAACUGGGGCUAAUACCGGAUAGGAGCUCCUGCUGCAUGGUGGGGGUUGGAAAGUUUCGGCGGUUGGGGAUGGACUCGCGGCUUAUCAGCUUGUUGGUGGGGUAGUGGCUUACCAAGGCUUUGACGGGUAGCCGACCUGAGAGGGUGACCGGCCACAUUGGGACUGAGAUACGGCCCAGACUCCUACGGGAGGCAGCAGUGGGGAAUAUUGCACAAUGGGCGGAAGCCUGAUGCAGCAACGCCGCGUGCGGGAUGACGGCCUUCGGGUUGUAAACCGCUUUCGCCUGUGACGAAGCGUGAGUGACGGUAAUGGGUAAAGAAGCACCGGCUAACUACGUG
This 468-nucleotide ribosomal RNA is filed under the name uncultured bacterium. RNAcentral's name for it is "partial 16S ribosomal RNA". It matches the Rfam family "Bacterial small subunit ribosomal RNA", at positions 28 to 507 of the family's 1533-position model. The record is from RNAcentral.